RNAcentral lists this ribosomal RNA (253 nucleotides) under uncultured bacterium. RNAcentral's name for it is "partial 16S ribosomal RNA". It matches the Rfam family "Bacterial small subunit ribosomal RNA", at positions 524 to 776 of the family's 1533-position model. The record is from RNAcentral.
UACGAAGGGGGCUAGCGUUGCUCGGAAUGACUGGGCGUAAAGGGCGCGUAGGCGGUUUGUACAGUCAGGUGUGAAAUUCCCGGGCUCAACCUGGGAACUGCGCUUGAGACUGGCACGCUCGAGUUCGGGAGAGGAUGGUGGAAUUCCCAGUGUAGAGGUGAAAUUCGUAGAUAUUGGGAAGAACACCGAUGGCGAAGGCAGCCAUCUGGACCGACACUGACGCUGAGGCGCGAAAGCGUGGGGAGCAAACAGG